UACGUAGGGUGCAAGCGUUAAUCGGAAUUACUGGGCGUAAAGCGUGCGCAGGCGGUCAUGCAAGACAGAUGUGAAAUCCCCGGGCUCAACCUGGGAACUGCAUUUGUGACUGCAUGACUCGAGUACGGCAGAGGGGGAUGGAAUUCCGCGUGUAGCAGUGAAAUGCGUAGAUAUGCGGAGGAACACCGAUGGCGAAGGCAAUCCCCUGGGCCUGUACUGACGCUCAUGCACGAAAGCGUGGGGAGCAAACAGG
Molecule: ribosomal RNA, 253 nt
Filed under: uncultured bacterium
Lineage: Bacteria
Description: partial 16S ribosomal RNA
Rfam family: Bacterial small subunit ribosomal RNA
Source: RNAcentral